GAUGAACGCUGGCGGCGUGCCUAAUACAUGCAAGUCGAGCGAACGGACGAGAAGCUUGCUCCCCUGAGGUUAGCGGCGGACGGGCGAGUAACACGUGGAUAACCUACCUAUAAGACUGGGAUAACUUCGGGAAACCGGAGCUAAUACCGGAUAAUAUUUUGAACCGCAUGGUUCAAAAGUGAAAGACGGUCUUGCUGUCACUUAUAGAUGGAUCCGCGCUGCAUUAGCUAGUUGGUAAGGUAACGGCUUACCAAGGCAACGAUGCAUAGCCGAGCUGAGAGGGUGAUCGGCCACACUGGAACUGAGACACGGUCCAGACUCCUACGGGAGGCAGCAGUAGGGAAUCUUCCGCAAUGGGCGAAAGCCUGACGGAGCAACGCCGCGUGAGUGAUGAAGGUCUUCGGAUCGUAAAACUCUGUUAUUAGGGAAGAACAUCUGUGUAAUUAACUGUGCACGUCUUGACGGUACCCAAUCAGAAAGCCACGGCUAACUACGUG
This 497-nucleotide ribosomal RNA is filed under the name uncultured bacterium. RNAcentral's name for it is "partial 16S ribosomal RNA". It matches the Rfam family "Bacterial small subunit ribosomal RNA", at positions 28 to 507 of the family's 1533-position model. The record is from RNAcentral.